This is a long non-coding RNA of Penaeus monodon (black tiger shrimp), 363 nucleotides long. RefSeq lists it as uncharacterized. NCBI's taxonomy places the organism in Eukaryota, Metazoa, Arthropoda, Malacostraca, Decapoda, Penaeidae. The record is from RefSeq and is a predicted model, not a curated record. The transcript is spliced from 3 exons.
GGCGUCGACGCGCGAGUUGAACGCUUCCCUUCGCUGCCAUUCGGACGGCGGGAAGUGUUCGAAGCGAACGCCACAAAAGGAAACGAAAAGCCGCAUAGAGCCACAUGGCGUAAUGGCUGACUGUAAACAAGCAACCCCGUCCAUGUUUACAUGCUGGAUCGCCUAGUCUCAUAAGGUCGCGGGAAGAGGCGCUAGGCACGGACGCAGCGCCAUGUGUGAGUGAGAACCGGGUUACGGACUAAGGCUGAAGAGUCGUCACUAAAGUUAUCUACAGAUGUUUGUUGGAUCACUCUUCAUCGCUUGGAUUGCUUGCUGAACCUGCUGCUUGCUCCUGCUGAAUCAAGCGUGACGUCCAUUCGAAGC